Boleophthalmus pectinirostris (great blue-spotted mudskipper) is the source of this 187-nucleotide long non-coding RNA. RefSeq lists it as uncharacterized. The transcript has 3 exons. NCBI's taxonomy places the organism in Eukaryota, Metazoa, Chordata, Actinopteri, Gobiiformes, Gobiidae. The record is from RefSeq and is a predicted model, not a curated record.
UAGUUGAUGUUUCAGAAAAAAGGAAGAUGUUUGAGAACCAACAAAACACAGACCACAGAUGAACAAAGUGAUGUGGCACUAGGAGACUUUAUACCAGAUGCCCUCCCUGUUACUGUGUUUAGAGGAAGAAAAGCAGCACAUGGCAGAGACCAGAGCUUCUUCACUGGAAUAAAUCUUCACACUGUCC